RNAcentral lists this ribosomal RNA (253 nucleotides) under uncultured bacterium. RNAcentral's name for it is "partial 16S ribosomal RNA". It matches the Rfam family "Bacterial small subunit ribosomal RNA", at positions 524 to 776 of the family's 1533-position model. The record is from RNAcentral.
UACGAAGGGGGCUAGCGUUGCUCGGAAUCACUGGGCGUAAAGCGCACGUAGGCGGCUUUCUAAGUCAGGGGUGAAAUCCUGGAGCUCAACUCCAGAACUGCCUUUGAUACUGGGAAGCUCGAGUCCGGAAGAGGUGAGUGGAACUCCGAGUGUAGAGGUGAAAUUCGUAGAUAUUCGGAGGAACACCAGUGGCGAAGGCGGCUCACUGGUCCGGUACUGACGCUGAUGCGCGACAGCAUGGGGAGCAAACAGG